UGAGGAAUAUUGGGCAAUGGAUGCAAGUCUGACCCAGCCAUGCCGCGUGCCGGAUGAAGGCCCUCAGGGUUGUAAACGGCUUUUAUUCGGGAAGAAGAGCAGGGAUGCGUCCUUGUGUGACGGUACCGAAUGAAUAAGCACCGGCUAACUCCGUGCCAGCAGCCGCGGUAAUACGGAGGGUGCGAGCGUUGUCCGGAUUUAUUGGGUUUAAAGGGUGCGUAGGUGGCUUAAUAAGUCAGUGGUGAAAUACAGCCGCUCAACGGUUGAGGUGCCAUUGAUACUGUUAAGCUUGAAACAAGUGGAGGCUGCCGGAAUGGAUGGUGUAGCGGUGAAAUGCAUAGAUAUCAUCCAGAACACCGAUUGCGAAGGCAGGUGGCUACGUUUGAUUUGACACUGAGGCACGAAAGCAGGGGGAGGAAACA
This 422-nucleotide ribosomal RNA is filed under the name uncultured bacterium. RNAcentral describes it as "bacterial SSU rRNA". It matches the Rfam family "Bacterial small subunit ribosomal RNA", at positions 355 to 774 of the family's 1533-position model. The record is from RNAcentral.